Non-coding RNA from Caenorhabditis elegans, 129 nucleotides. The record is from Ensembl. Lineage: Eukaryota; Metazoa; Nematoda; Chromadorea; Rhabditida; Rhabditidae.
AAAAUUUAGCGAACAAAAUAUUGAUCUACUUAUUUUUGUUAACAAAUAGUUUUUAAUUCUAGUGUAGAAUAAGUUGGAGCACCUGCCACCUUGUGGGUCCAUUUUCGACACACUUUCUUGGAUCUCUUA